GCCGCAGUGGUGGAAUCGGUAGACACGCAGGAUUUAGGAUCCUGUGCCCGAAAGGCGUAGAGGUUCAACUCCUCUCUGCGGCA
RNAcentral lists this transfer RNA (83 nucleotides) under Candidatus Gottesmanbacteria bacterium. RNAcentral's name for it is "tRNA-Leu". It matches the Rfam family "tRNA". Rfam says of the family: Transfer RNA (tRNA) molecules are approximately 80 nucleotides in length. Their secondary structure includes four short double-helical elements and three loops (D, anti-codon, and T loops). Further hydrogen bonds mediate the characteristic L-shaped molecular structure. tRNAs have two regions of fundamental functional importance: the anti-codon, which is responsible for specific mRNA codon recognition, and the 3' end, to which the tRNAs corresponding amino acid is attached (by aminoacyl-tRNA synthetases). tRNAs cope with the degeneracy of the genetic code in two manners: having more than one tRNA (with a specific anti-codon) for a particular amino acid; and 'wobble' base-pairing, i.e. permitting non-standard base-pairing at the 3rd anti-codon position. Lineage: Bacteria; Candidatus Gottesmaniibacteriota. The record is from RNAcentral.